AUAAUGUCACUUACCUAUAGCUAAUGAAAUAUUUAAGUGGAGCUCAUAGGAGUGAAAAACAGUUCAUACAUAUGUUGUCUAAUCGAGCCAUGGAUCCAAAGGAACUCAGCAUAUAAUUAAAUCAAGAUGUGCAUGUGUGAUGGAGUAAAUGAUAGUGAUGGUGAAAAUGCAUAAGUGAUAAUAAAACUUAGUUCUCAUUGCUCCUCAUAUUGCUAUCUCUCCUCCUCUUUGAUCUUUGCUUUGGGAGAACAUGGGCUAUCUUUUUUUUUCAGGUGGGUAAUAGAUACCCCUAAUUCUACUGUCGGACACUUGUCCAUUUUUUCCGCUCAAGUGGGCAUCUUUGUACCCCUAAUUCUACUUCGGACACUUGUCCAUUUUUACCUCUCGUCUCACUCUUUUUCUUUCUUUUUCGAGGU
This 416-nucleotide long non-coding RNA is filed under the name Sorghum bicolor (sorghum). Its description in RNAcentral is "long non-coding RNA (SBIC_LNC011009)". The record is from RNAcentral. Lineage: Eukaryota; Viridiplantae; Streptophyta; Magnoliopsida; Poales; Poaceae.